AUACGGGGGGAGCAAGCGUUGUCCGGAAUCACUGGGCGUAAAGGGCGUGUAGGCGGGCUGAUAAGUCAGAUGUGAAAGUCCACGGCUUAACCGUGGAAUUGCAUUUGGUACUGUCAGUCUUGAGUGCGAGAGAGGGUAGUGGAAUUCCCGGUGUAGCGGUGAAAUGCGUAGAUAUCGGGAAGAACACCAGUAGCGAUGGCGGCUACCUGGCUCGCAACUGACGCUAAGGCGCGAAAGCGUGGGGAGCAAACAGGAUUAGAAACCCGAGUAGUCC
RNAcentral lists this ribosomal RNA (274 nucleotides) under uncultured bacterium. Its description in RNAcentral is "partial 16S ribosomal RNA". It matches the Rfam family "Bacterial small subunit ribosomal RNA", at positions 523 to 796 of the family's 1533-position model. The record is from RNAcentral.